This 378-nucleotide ribosomal RNA is filed under the name uncultured Planctomycetota bacterium. Its description in RNAcentral is "bacterial SSU rRNA". It matches the Rfam family "Bacterial small subunit ribosomal RNA", at positions 521 to 896 of the family's 1533-position model. Lineage: Bacteria; Pseudomonadati; Planctomycetota. The record is from RNAcentral.
UAAUACGAAGGGCCCAAGCGUUAAUCGGAAUCACUGGGCUUAAAGAGUACGUAGGCGGACUGGAAGGUGCUUUGUGAAAUCCCUCGGCUCAACCGAGGAACUGCAGGGCAAACCAUCAGUCUAGAGACAGGUAGGGGUCGUCGGAACGCUAGGUGGAGUGGUGAUAUGCGUUGAUAUCUAGCGGAACGCCGAAGGAGAAGUCAGGCGACUGGGCCUGUUCUGACGCUGAGGUACGAAAGCGUGGGGAGCGAACGGGAUUAGAUACCCCGGUAGUCCACGCCGUAAACGAUGCGCACUAGGUUGGAGAGGUUCUGACACCGUUUCCGGCCGAAGCAAAAGUGUUAAGUGCGCCGCCUGGGGAGUACGGUCGCAAGGCUA